UGAGAUUUGUAAACACGCCUGUGAUUAUCGAGAGAUUUGCUACUCUGGAGAAAGAAAUUGAGCAUUCUAUUCAAGCUAAUGAAAUCGCCAAUGCUGCUGCUGAUGCUGAGCAAUUACAAACACAAAUGGUGAUGCUAAUUCUGGAGUAAGUAGUAAUCUAAGGAAGUUGAAAGAGUCAUUCAAGAGAAAGUCAUGCAGUAGAUACAGAGUCACUAUGUGUUCUAGCCCGAAAGCUGGUCUGGUCUGUUUGCAUUGAUCUUCACAUUUUGGACUAUGGAGGGUAGCUUUACUUGGCUGCAUUUCUUCUUCAUGUAGCCCAAGUUGUUGUAAAGGAGAUUGAAAAGUUAUUUUUUUCAGAAAACCACAUGUUAGAAUAUUUCAUUACAUUUAUAUGACACCUCUUGUCUUCUAACUCUCUGAAUCUUUGACGAAUUAGAGAUAUGGUGCAAGGCAGUGCAAGUGUGGAUCGGAGGACCUUGCUCUGUCCAUGACAGCAACUCUUGCUCACUCUCGGAACAACCUGUAAGUGGUAACAUUUUUUUCCUUCUUCUUUUUAUCUGAGUCAUUGCUUGACCUACUUAGUAGGAGUUGCUCAUGCUUCAUUUGAGAUUGCUAAGCAAUGGUGCGGUUAACUUUGUUCUGUUGACAAGCCAACUAUCUUGGAGGUAAAUAAACCCUAGAUAAUUG
Non-coding RNA from Camelina sativa (false flax), 687 nucleotides. NCBI's taxonomy places the organism in Eukaryota, Viridiplantae, Streptophyta, Magnoliopsida, Brassicales, Brassicaceae. The record is from RefSeq and is a predicted model, not a curated record.